GCAUAUCAAUAAGCGGAGGAAAAGAAACCAACAGGGAUUGCCUUAGUAGCGGCGAGUGAAGCGGCAAAAGCUCAAAUUUGAAAUCUGGCACUUUCAGUGUCCGAGUUGUAAUUUGAAGAAGGUAACUUUGGGUCUGGCUCUUGUCUAUGUUCCUUGGAACAGGACGUCACAGAGGGUGAGAAUCCCGUGCGAUGAGAUGACCCAGACCUAUGUAAGGUUCCUUCGAAAAGUCGAGUGGUUUGGGAAUGCGGCUCUAAGUGGGUGGUAAAUUCCAUCUAAAGCUAAAUAUUGGCGAGAGACCGAUAGCGAACAAGUACAGUGAGGGAAAGAUAAAAAGAACUUUGAAAAGAGAGUGAAAAAGUACGUGAAAUUGUGGAAAGGGAAGGGCUUGAGAUCAGACUUGGUAUUUUGUAUGUUACUCUCUCGGGGGUGGCCUCUACAGUUUACCGGGCCAGCAUCAGUUUGGGCGGUAGGACAAUUGCAAAGAAAUGUGGCACUGCCUCGGUAGUGUGUUAUAGUCUUUGUCGAUACUGCCAGCCUAGACUGAGGACUGCGGCUUCGGCCUAGGAUGUUGGCAUAAUGAUCUUAAGUCGCCCGUCUUGAAACACGGACCAAGGAGUCUAACGUCUAUGCGAGUGUUUGGGUGUAAAACCCGUACGCGUAAUGAAAGUGAACGUAGGUAGGACCUCCUUUAGGAGUGCACUAUCGACCGAUCCUGAUGUCUUCGGAUGGAUUUGAGUAAGAGCAUAGCUGUUGGGACCCGAAAGAUGGGUGAACUAUGCCUGAAUAGGGUGAAGCCAGAGGAAACUCUGGUGGAGGCUCGUAGCGGUUCUGACGUGCAAAUCGAUCGUCGAAUUUGGGUAUAGGGGCGAAAG
RNAcentral lists this ribosomal RNA (875 nucleotides) under Lodderomyces orthopsilosis. RNAcentral's name for it is "LSU rRNA". It matches the Rfam family "Eukaryotic large subunit ribosomal RNA", at positions 38 to 929 of the family's 3401-position model. The record is from RNAcentral. Lineage: Eukaryota; Fungi; Ascomycota; Pichiomycetes; Serinales; Debaryomycetaceae.